Molecule: ribosomal RNA, 245 nt
Filed under: uncultured bacterium
Lineage: Bacteria
Description: partial small subunit ribosomal RNA
Rfam family: Bacterial small subunit ribosomal RNA
Source: RNAcentral
AGAAUCAACGCUGGCGGCGUGCCUAACACAUGCAAGUCGCACGAGAAAGGGGAGCAAUCCCUGAGUACAGUGGCGCACGGGUGAGUAACACGUGAAUAAUCUACCUCCGAGUGGGGAAUAACUGAGAGAAAUCUUAGCUAAUACCGCAUAAUACCCACGGGUCAAAGCAGCAAUGCGCUUGGAGAGGAGUUCGCGGCAGAUUAGUUAGUUGGCGGGGUAAUGGCCCACCAAGACGAUGAUCUGUA